This 492-nucleotide ribosomal RNA is filed under the name uncultured bacterium. RNAcentral describes it as "partial 16S ribosomal RNA". It matches the Rfam family "Bacterial small subunit ribosomal RNA", at positions 29 to 507 of the family's 1533-position model. The record is from RNAcentral.
AGUGAACGCUGGCGGUAGGCCUAACACAUGCAAGUCGAACGGCAGCACAGUAAGAGCUUGCUCUUACGGGUGGCGAGUGGCGGACGGGUGAGGAAUACAUCGGAAUCUACUUUUUCGUGGGGGAUAACGUAGGGAAACUUACGCUAAUACCGCAUACGACCUACGGGUGAAAGCAGGGGAUCUUCGGACCUUGCGCGAUUGACUGAGCCGAUGUCGGAUUAGCUAGUUGGCGGGGUAAAGGCCCACCAAGGCGACGAUCCGUAGCUGGUCUGAGAGGAUGAUCAGCCACACUGGAACUGAGACACGGUCCAGACUCCUACGUGAGGCAGCAGUGGGGAAUAUUGGACAAUGGGCGCAAGCCUGAUCCAGCCAUACCGCGUGGGUGAAGAAGGCCUUCGGGUUGUAAAGCCCUUUUGUUGGGAAAGAAAAGCAGCAGGUUAAUACCCCGCUGUUCUGACGGUACCCAAAGAAUAAGCACCGGCUAACUUCGUG